UGCUCUUUCCGAUCUGCUCAAUCCUGUGGCAUAGCGACUACCCAUACUUCCUUGUACAGCAGUGUGUGACAUGGCUGAAGC
This is a long non-coding RNA of Sinocyclocheilus grahami, 81 nucleotides long. RefSeq lists it as uncharacterized. The transcript has 3 exons. Lineage: Eukaryota; Metazoa; Chordata; Actinopteri; Cypriniformes; Cyprinidae. The record is from RefSeq and is a predicted model, not a curated record.